Cimex lectularius (bed bug) is the source of this 921-nucleotide long non-coding RNA. RefSeq lists it as uncharacterized. The record is from RefSeq and is a predicted model, not a curated record. NCBI's taxonomy places the organism in Eukaryota, Metazoa, Arthropoda, Insecta, Hemiptera, Cimicidae. The transcript is spliced from 3 exons.
ACACAUUCAAUAUUUAUUUAAGACAAUUUUGUUAAAUAGCCCAUAAAAUCUGUAUUUGGGUUACAUUUCAUGUACUAAAAUUAUUUUAGCGAGUUCAAACAUUUGAAGACUGUGUCAACAUCUUUACAUUUUGCGCCAGAAAAAAUGAGAGAAUAGGGACGAAAUAAACAAAAUAUUCUUAAAAUUGUACUUUUAUCUCGGAUUCUUAUUUAUUCACGUUUCUGCCACGUAGUUCUAGGAAGAAGCCAUUUUCGUAAUCUACUACACCAAAAAUAUGCCAGAAGAUUUCUGCACUCUUGGCACGUUUUAGGCUCUGAGCGGUUGGAUAUCCAUCAACGCCCGGAUGCCAGCUACGUCGAGUUCUAGAAGUUUACUUGUCCGCGUGGUUUCUUUAUAGCAAAGCCUCGUGAAACCUAGGUAACGUGCCUCUAAAUCCGAUGUCCCGACAUUUCCGAAGUAUUAUAAUACGCCUUCUCGAGGUCAAAGUACACGAUCAGAUCAUGUUCUCUAUUCAAAAACGUCUUCUGAAUAUCGCUCCCGUGGAGGCAAGCAUAAUCGACUGUGGAACGAUGUCUAUGGAAUCUCGCCUGAUACUGGUUGUGAACCCAUUCGUCUCAAGAAACCAGAUCAAACGACCGUUUAUCAUGUACUCAAGGAGCUAAUGCAGGCAGAUAGGGAUAUCGGUCUGUAUCUCGUGGCCAGGUUCGGGUUCCUGCUCUCCUUAAGCACAGGAAUGAUGAGUGCCUCAGACCAACGGUCGGAAUAGGAGUCCGUAUUUCAUAUGUUGUUGAAGAAAUUCAACAGGCCAUGCUUCGCACACUGGUUAUGUAGCAUUUCAUAUGGGAUAUCGUCGUUCCCGGAGCUUCAAUGCCGGGUAAAGAAACAUAGUUUAAUACAGAAUUUUUUUACAACAAAUAUCAA